UGGGGAAUUUUGGACAAUGGGCGAAAGCCUGAUCCAGCAAUGCCGCGUGUGUGAAGAAGGCCUUCGGGUUGUAAAGCACUUUUGUCCGGAAAGAAAUGGCUCUGGUUAAUACCUGGGGUCGAUGACGGUACCGGAAGAAUAAGGACCGGCUAACUACGUGCCAGCAGCCGCGGUAAUACGUAGGGUCCAAGCGUUAAUCGGAAUUACUGGGCGUAAAGCGUGCGCAGGCGGUUGUGCAAGACCGAUGUGAAAUCCCCGAGCUUAACUUGGGAAUUGCAUUGGUGGCUGCACGGCUAGAGUGUGUCAGAGGGGGGUAGAAUUCCACGUGUAGCAGUGAAAUGCGUAGAGAUGUGGAGGAAUACCGAUGGCGAAGGCAGCCCCCUGGGAUAACACUGACGAUCAUGCACGAAAGCGUGGGGAGCAAACAGG
This 429-nucleotide ribosomal RNA is filed under the name Bacillota bacterium. Its description in RNAcentral is "Firmicutes bacterium partial 16S ribosomal RNA". It matches the Rfam family "Bacterial small subunit ribosomal RNA", at positions 355 to 776 of the family's 1533-position model. Lineage: Bacteria; Bacillati; Bacillota. The record is from RNAcentral.